This 775-nucleotide small RNA is filed under the name Pyricularia oryzae. RNAcentral describes it as "Magnaporthe oryzae sRNA M_BR32_EuGene_00087231". Lineage: Eukaryota; Fungi; Ascomycota; Sordariomycetes; Magnaporthales; Pyriculariaceae. The record is from RNAcentral.
UUUAUUUUUUGUCGUUUUUAUUUUUUUAAUUAUAUCGACCGAUUUUUAAUUAAAUUUAAUAUUAUAUUUAAUAAUUUUACGUUUUUUUUGGUUUUCUUUGUUUUUUUCGCGCCGUUAAUAAUUUUUUAAUUUUUAAAAAAAUCUUUUUUUAUCGGUUUAUAAUUUAUUUUUUAUCUCGGUUAUUUAAAUUUUUAUUUGGUAGGAAAACAAAUUGCGGUUAAUUAUUUGGAAAUUUGUUUUAAUAUAAGUUUGUUUUUGGAACGUUAUACUAAAUAUAAGUAAAAAUAUUUGUGCAAAUUAAUAUAAAAUAUUUUUAUAAUAAUUUUUUUAAAGUUUUUUUUUGCAACGUUUUUUUAACGUUUUUCCAAUUCGAUAAUUAUUUUUAAAUUUAUAAUAUUAUUUUUCCGCGAUUAUAAUUUAUAUAUUGUUAAAAAUUAUUCAAAAACGAAAUAAAAACCGGCCGUAAUAAUAAUAUCGGAAUAAUUAUUAUAAUAUUUCGCAAACGCAAAAACGACGUUUUACCGUUUAAAAUCCCAAUUACCACUAUUAUUAUAAAUUCUUUUUCCCUGAACGUUUUUUUUGCGUUUUUCAAAAUUAAUAAACGUUUUUAGAAAUUUCGAUUAUUAACGUAUUAUUAUUAAACAUAUAUUUUUAAUUAUUAUUUAUAAAACAAAUAUAUUUUCAAACGACGAUUUUGAAUUUUUUUCGUCGGCGGAACGUCGUUCCGCGGGUUAUACCGUAAUAAUUUGUUAAUUUAAUAUUUUAUAAAUUGAAA